GGGAAUGUGCUCUUGGGUGGGGAAUAACGCAGGGAAACUUGCGCUAAUACCGCAUAAUGUCUUCGGACCAAAGAUUUAUCGCCCAAGAAUCAGCCCGCGGCAGAUUAGCUAGUUGGUGGGGUAAAGGCCUACCAAGGCUACGAUCUGUAGCUGGUCUUAGAGGAUGAUCAGCCACACUGGGACUGAGACACGGCCCAGACUCCUACGGGAGGCAGCAGUGGGGAAUAUUGGACAAUGGGCGCAAGCCUGAUCCAGCCAUGCCGCGUGAGUGAUGAAGGCCUUAGGGUUGUAAAGCUCUUUCAGUAGGGAAGAUAAUGACGGUACCUACAGAAGAAGCCCCGGCUAACUUCGUGCCAGCAGCCGCGGUAAUACGAAGGGGGCAAGCGUUGUUCGGAUUUACUGGGCGUAAAGGGAGUGUAGGUGGUUUUAUAAGUCAGGCGUGAAAGCCCGGGGCUCAACUCCGGAAUUGCGCUUGAGACUGUAGAACUUGAGUGUCUGAGGGGUAAGCGGAAUUCCCAGU
This 520-nucleotide ribosomal RNA is filed under the name uncultured bacterium. RNAcentral describes it as "bacterial SSU rRNA". It matches the Rfam family "Bacterial small subunit ribosomal RNA", at positions 120 to 674 of the family's 1533-position model. The record is from RNAcentral.